GACGAACGCUGGCGGCGUGCUUAACACAUGCAAGUCGAACGGAAAGGCCCUGCUUUUGUGGGGUGCUCGAGUGGCGAACGGGUGAGUAACACGUGAGUAACCUGCCCUUGACUUUGGGAUAACUUCAGGAAACUGGGGCUAAUACCGGAUAGGAGCUCCUGCUGCAUGGUGGGGGUUGGAAAGUUUCGGCGGUUGGGGAUGGACUCGCGGCUUAUCAGCUUGUUGGUGGGGUAGUGGCUUACCAAGGCUUUGACGGGUAGCCGGCCUGAGAGGGUGACCGGCCACAUAGGGACUGAGAUACGGCCCAGACUCCUACGGGAGGCAGGAGUGGGGAAUAUUGCACAAUGGGCGGAAGCCUGAUGCAGCAACGCCGCGUGCGGGAUGACGGCCUUCGGGUUGUAAACCGCUUUCGCCUGUGACGAAGCGUGAGUGACGGUAAUGGGUAAAGAAGCACCGGCUAACUACGUG
RNAcentral lists this ribosomal RNA (468 nucleotides) under uncultured bacterium. RNAcentral describes it as "partial 16S ribosomal RNA". It matches the Rfam family "Bacterial small subunit ribosomal RNA", at positions 28 to 507 of the family's 1533-position model. The record is from RNAcentral.